RNAcentral lists this ribosomal RNA (500 nucleotides) under uncultured bacterium. RNAcentral describes it as "partial 16S ribosomal RNA". It matches the Rfam family "Bacterial small subunit ribosomal RNA", at positions 30 to 523 of the family's 1533-position model. The record is from RNAcentral.
AUUGAACGCUGGCGGAAUGCUUUACACAUGCAAGUCGAACGGCAGCACGGACUUCGGUCUGGUGGCGAGUGGCGAACGGGUGAGUAAUGUAUCGGAACGUGCCCAGUCGUGGGGGAUAACGUAGUGAAAAUUACGCUAAUACCGCAUACGAUCUAUGGAUGAAAGCAGGGGAUCGCAAGACCUCGCGCGAUUGGAGUGGCCGAUAUCAGAUUAGGUAGUUGGUGGGGUAAAGGCCCACCAAGCCAACGAUCUGUAGCUGGUCUGAGAGGACGACCAGCCACACUGGAACUGAGACACGGUCCAGACUCCUACGGGAGGCAGCAGUGGGGAAUUUUGGACAAUGGGCGAAAGCCUGAUCCAGCCAUUCCGCGUGCAGGAUGAAGGCCCUCGGGUUGUAAACUGCUUUUGUACAGAACGAAAAGGUUUCUACUAAUACUAGGAGCUCAUGACGGUACUGUAAGAAUGAGCACCGGCUAACUACGUGCCAGCAGCCGCCGUAA